RNAcentral lists this ribosomal RNA (735 nucleotides) under Actinomycetes bacterium. RNAcentral's name for it is "bacterial SSU rRNA". It matches the Rfam family "Bacterial small subunit ribosomal RNA", at positions 83 to 832 of the family's 1533-position model. Lineage: Bacteria; Bacillati; Actinomycetota; Actinomycetes. The record is from RNAcentral.
GGUGGUGGAUGAGUGGCGAACGGGUGAGUAACACGUGGGUAAUCUGCCUUGUACUCUGGGAUAAGCCUGGGAAACUGGGUCUAAUACCGGAUAUGACCUGUCAUCGCAUGGUGGUGGGUGGAAAGUUUCGGCGGUAUGGGAUGAACCCGCGGCCUAUCAGCUUGUUGGUGGGGUGAUGGCCUACCAAGGCGACGACGGGUAGCCGGCCUGAGAGGGUGACCGGCCACACUGGGACUGAGACACGGCCCAGACUCCUACGGGAGGCAGCAGUGGGGAAUAUUGCACAAUGGGCGGAAGCCUGAUGCAGCGACGCCGCGUGAGGGAUGACGGCCUUCGGGUUGUAAACCUCUUUCGCCAGGGACGAAGCGAGAGUGACGGUACCUGGAUAAGAAGCACCGGCUAACUACGUGCCAGCAGCCGCGGUAAUACGUAGGGUGCGAGCGUUGUCCGGAAUUAUUGGGCGUAAAGAGCUCGUAGGCGGUUUGUCGCGUCGGCCGUGAAAUCUGGAGGCUUAACCUUCAGCGUGCGGUCGAUACGGGCAGACUUGAGUUCGGUAGGGGAGACUGGAAUUCCUGGUGUAGCGGUGAAAUGCGCAGAUAUCAGGAGGAACACCGGUGGCGAAGGCGGGUCUCUGGGCCGAUACUGACGCUGAGGAGCGAAAGCGUGGGGAGCGAACAGGAUUAGAUACCCUGGUAGUCCACGCUGUAAACGUUGGGCGCUAGGUGUGGGCGACAU